GUGGGGAAUUUUGGACAAUGGGCGAAAGCCUGAUCCAGCCAUGCCGCGUGCAGGAUGAAGGCCUUCGGGUUGUAAACUGCUUUUGUACGGAACGAAAAGACUCCUUCUAAUAAAGGGGGUCCAUGACGGUACCGUAAGAAUAAGCACCGGCUAACUACGUGCCAGCAGCCGCGGUAAUACGUAGGGUGCAAGCGUUAAUCGGAAUUACUGGGCGUAAGGCGUGCGCAGGCGGUUAUAUAAGACAGAUGUGAAAUCCCCGGGCUCAACCUGGGAACUGCAUUUGUGACUGUAUAGCUAGAGUACGGUAGAGGGGGAUGGAAUUCCGCGUGUAGCAGUGAAAUGCGUAGAUAUGCGGAGGAACACCGAUGGCGAAGGCAAUCCCCUGGACCUGUACUGACGCUCAUGCACGAAAGCGUGGGGAGCAAACAGGAUUAGAAACCCCGGUAGUCC
Molecule: ribosomal RNA, 450 nt
Filed under: uncultured bacterium
Lineage: Bacteria
Description: partial 16S ribosomal RNA
Rfam family: Bacterial small subunit ribosomal RNA
Source: RNAcentral